GGCAAGAUGGCCGAGCGGUCUAAGGCGCCACGUUAAGGUUAACCCUUAAUCCCAAUCUCCGUGGUCCGAAAGGGCGUGGGUUCGAAUCCCACUCUUGUCA
Molecule: non-coding RNA, 100 nt
Organism: Diplogelasinospora grovesii
Lineage: Eukaryota; Fungi; Ascomycota; Sordariomycetes; Sordariales; Diplogelasinosporaceae
Source: the annotation of a GenBank genome assembly